RNAcentral lists this long non-coding RNA (391 nucleotides) under Bos taurus (domestic cattle). Its description in RNAcentral is "long non-coding RNA NONBTAT008039". Lineage: Eukaryota; Metazoa; Chordata; Mammalia; Artiodactyla; Bovidae. The record is from RNAcentral.
AACUGAAAGAGAGAAGUCAACUAUAAAUGUGGGGGAAAAAACUAUAAAUGUGCUUUUUCUUUUUUAACUGAAUUUUCUCUGAAAUAAAUUCUAUAAUUUCUUUCAAUGAAACUUCAAUUAUGACAAGGACUUUUAACCACAGUGAGUUAAACAAUGCUGAAAUUUUCUGGAACAGAAAAUCAGUCUAGGAAAUUUCAACUAAGAUAAAAAGCCAUGAAAUAGUAAGGUAAAGAAUUAUAUUUUAUGAAGUUAAAGGUCCAAAUCUUUAAUAACUAGUUACCUGAAGAUGAACAUAAUAAACAUAGCAUUCUUUUUUCUUACAAUAGGAAUUAGCAAGAAGUUUUGGACCAAGGUAAAUAAAGCAAUGGAAAAAGGAGACAAACAUGAAUAC